GUGAGGAACCUGCCUCAAAGAGGGGGACAACAGUUGGAAACGACUGCUAAUACCGCAUAAGCCCACAGGUCGGCAUCGACCAGAGGGAAAAGGAGCAAUCCGCUUUGAGAUGGCCUCGCGUCCGAUUAGCUAGUUGGUGAGGUAACGGCCCACCAAGGCGACGAUCGGUAGCCGGACUGAGAGGUUGAACGGCCACAUUGGGACUGAGACACGGCCCAGACUCCUACGGGAGGCAGCAGUGGGGAAUAUUGCACAAUGGGGGAAACCCUGAUGCAGCGACGCCGCGUGGAGGAAGAAGGUCUUCGGAUUGUAAACUCCUGUUGUUGAGGAAGAUAAUGACGGUACUCAACAAGGAAGUGACGGCUAACUACGUGCCAGCAGCCGCGGUAAAACGUAGGUCACAAGCGUUGUCCGGAAUUACUGGGUGUAAAGGGAGCGCAGGCGGGAAGACAAGUUGGAAGUGAAAUCUAUGGGCUCAACCCAUAAACUGCUUUCAAAACUGUUUUUCUUGAGUAGUGCAGAGGUAGGCGGAAUUCCCGGUGUAGCGGUGGAAUGCGUAGAUAUCGGGAGGAACACCAGUGGCGAAGGCGGCCUACUAGGCACCAACUGACGCUGAGGCUCGAAAGUGUGGGUAGCAAACAGGAUUAGAUACCCUGGUAGUCCACACCGUAAACGAUGAUUACUAGGUGUUGGAGGAUUGACCCCUUCAGUGCCGCAGUUAACACAAUAAGUAAUCC
RNAcentral lists this ribosomal RNA (737 nucleotides) under uncultured bacterium. RNAcentral's name for it is "bacterial SSU rRNA". It matches the Rfam family "Bacterial small subunit ribosomal RNA", at positions 117 to 870 of the family's 1533-position model. The record is from RNAcentral.